Molecule: ribosomal RNA, 499 nt
Filed under: Lactiplantibacillus plantarum
Lineage: Bacteria; Bacillati; Bacillota; Bacilli; Lactobacillales; Lactobacillaceae
Description: bacterial SSU rRNA
Rfam family: Bacterial small subunit ribosomal RNA
Source: RNAcentral
UGCAGUCGACGAACUCUGGUAUUGAUUGGUGCUUGCAUCAUGAUUUACAUUUGAGUGAGUGGCGAACUGGUGAGUAACACGUGGGAAACCUGCCCAGAAGCGGGGGAUAACACCUGGAAACAGAUGCUAAUACCGCAUAACAACUUGGACCGCAUGGUCCGAGCUUGAAAGAUGGCUUCGGCUAUCACUUUUGGAUGGUCCCGCGGCGUAUUAGCUAGAUGGUGGGGUAACGGCUCACCAUGGCAAUGAUACGUAGCCGACCUGAGAGGGUAAUCGGCCACAUUGGGACUGAGACACGGCCCAAACUCCUACGGGAGGCAGCAGUAGGGAAUCUUCCACAAUGGACGAAAGUCUGAUGGAGCAACGCCGCGUGAGUGAAGAAGGGUUUCGGCUCGUAAAACUCUGUUGUUAAAGAAGAACAUAUCUGAGAGUAACUGUUCAGGUAUUGACGGUAUUUAACCAGAAAGCCACGGCUAACUACGUGCCAGCAGCCGNCGGU